UAGGGAAUUUUCCGCAAUGGGCGAAAGCCUGACGGAGCAACGCCGCGUGAGUGAGGACGGCCUUCGGGUUGUAAAACUCUGUUCUUGAGGAAGAAUUCCUUCCAGGCGAACAGCCUGGAAGGUUGACGGUACUCAAGGAGAAAGCCCCGGCUAACUACGUGCCAGCAGCCGCGGUAAUACGUAGGGGGCGAGCGUUAUCCGGAAUUAUUGGGCGUAAAGCGCGCGCAGGCGGCCGAUUAAGUCAGGUGUGAAAGGCUGCGGCUCAACCGCAGAGCGGCACCUGAAACUGGUCGGCUUGAGUGCAGGAGAGGGGAGCGGAAUUCCCGGUGUAGCGGUGGAAUGCGUAGAGAUCGGGAGGAACACCAGUGGCGAAGGCGGCUCUCUGGCCUGUAACUGACGCUGAGGCGCGAAAGCGUGGGGAGCAAACA
RNAcentral lists this ribosomal RNA (428 nucleotides) under uncultured Thermoactinomyces sp. Its description in RNAcentral is "bacterial SSU rRNA". It matches the Rfam family "Bacterial small subunit ribosomal RNA", at positions 355 to 774 of the family's 1533-position model. The record is from RNAcentral. Lineage: Bacteria; Bacillati; Bacillota; Bacilli; Caryophanales; Thermoactinomycetaceae.